GAUAAACGCUGGCGGCGUGCCUAACACAUGCAAGUCGAACGUCCUUCUUUCUUCGGAAAGAAGGGAGUGGCGGACGGGUGAGUAACACGUGGGUUAUCUCCCUUGAGGUGAGGAAUACCGGCGAGAAAUCGCCGACAAGACCGCAUACGAUUGGCAACAAUCAAAGUUGUGCUUCGCGAGAAGUAUGACGCCACAAGAUGAGCUCGCGCCCGAUUAGCUCGUUGGUGAGGUAAAGGCUUACCAAGGCGACCAUCGGUAGCUGGUCUGAGAGGAUGAUCAGCCACACUGGGAUUGAGAACGGCCCAGACUCCUACGGGGGCAGCAGUGAGGAAUUUUUCCGCAAUGGACGCAAGUCUGACGGAGCAACGCCGCGUGCAGGAUGACGGCCUUCGGGUUGUAAACUGCUUUUCUGAGAGACGAGCAAGGACGGUAUCUC
RNAcentral lists this ribosomal RNA (436 nucleotides) under uncultured bacterium. RNAcentral describes it as "bacterial SSU rRNA". It matches the Rfam family "Bacterial small subunit ribosomal RNA", at positions 28 to 481 of the family's 1533-position model. The record is from RNAcentral.